AUGUCCUGGGGUCCCCACCAGCACAGACCCUUCCCUGGGGGGGACAGCCACCACCACCAGCCCCCCAGGGCCUCUGCUCCCUGUGCAGCCCUGGCACAGCCCCCGCUGCUGGCCCCGCUUCCCUCCCCAGGGCACCAAACAGGCAGCAGGGCUGCCUGGGCAACCCUCACCUGGGGACGCAGCCUGGGGACCCCGCUGCUCCCUGGGGCUGUCUCACCCUUUCCCGGCACCAAAUUCUCUUUGCUAAAUCUAGCUCCUGCUGGUGCAAUUUCCCCUUUCACUCUCCCACCGGUUCCCGCACACAAAGGACCCCGGACAGACCUAUCCCUCCCCGGUGUGCUCAUCACCACCGUAUCCAAGCCUCCAACCCCACCAGGACCCAAAUCCCAACUCCCUGCCCCGCUCUGGAGGGCAGCCACCAUCUGUGCAGCCACCCCCUUGCACCCGGCUGCUCCGAGCACCUGCAAGCACCACUGCCCAGCCCUGUUUGCUCAGCUGGGGCCGGCCAGCAUGCGACAGGCACGGGGACACGGCAGUGCAAGUGGCCGUACUGACCUGCUCCUCCACAGCACCCGGCACCGCCGUCCUCCCCGGGGAGCCUCAGCCUCGCUGCUCCCACCUCUCCAAGUCCCCCGGGAGCUGGCGGUGUGCGCAGAGGUGUGGACGUGCCUGCAAGGCGUCCCCAACGCCGCCACUCCCUCGCACGAGGAAAGGAAUUUCUUCCCAGAGAGGCUUAUCACCUCGGGAACCUCCGCUUCCCAGCAGAGCCUCCGGAGCGGAGGUCAGCGGGGCAACAGGGCGCUGCCUCCCCAGGGGAAGCCUCGCCGGGAAACGAGCGCCGGGGAGGCCACCACGUCUGGGCUCCGUCCCUCUCCACGCGUGUCCACCCCGUGCCGUGCCACCACCGGUCCCUCCCGGCUCUCACCUGUCCCCUGCUCGGGCGUCGUGUCCUUGAGGCUGGGGACUUCCCGUCCUUGCUGCCCAGGGACAGGCUCAGCAGCCCGGGGAGCAGCUCGGGAACUCGCUGCUUUUCGGACAAACUGCGAGUGCAGACACACAGGAUAA
RNAcentral lists this long non-coding RNA (1065 nucleotides) under Anas platyrhynchos (mallard). Its description in RNAcentral is "lncRNA (ENSAPLG00020008618.1)". The record is from RNAcentral. Lineage: Eukaryota; Metazoa; Chordata; Aves; Anseriformes; Anatidae.